CUUAGAAGCAGCCACUCAUUAAAAGAGUGCGUAAUAGCUCACUGGUCGAGUGACUCUGCGCCGAAAAUUUAACGGGGCUAAACUAUACACCGAAGCUUGGGAUACAUCUAAUGUAUGGUAGGAGAGCGUUCUGUAUGGGGAGAAGUCGUAGCGAAAGCGGCGGUGGACUGUACAGAAGUGAGAAUGCCGGAAUAAGUAGCGAGAAUUAAGUGAGAAUCUUAAUGGCCGAAAGUCUAAGGUUUUUGGAGGAAGGUUCGUCCGCUCCAAGUAAGUCGGGAGCUAAGGUCAGGCCGAAAGGCGUAGCCGAUGCACAUACGGUUGAUAUUCCGUAACCAUCUGUAAUUUAAGCAAAGGGACACUUCAAAAGGGUGUGACCCGGGCGUUGGUUGACCCGGGCGUAAGGGACCGAAAUUAGAGUAGGGAAGCACACUUAGCUGAAGGCGAGAAAAGCUUUGCGUAUAGAAGCAGAUGCCCGUACCGCAAACCGACACAGGUGGACAGGAAGAGAAUUCUAAGGCCAGCGGGAGAAGGGUAGUUAAGGAACUCGGCAAAUUGACUCCGUAACUUCGGAAUAAGGAGUGCUCGAAAGAGCCGCAGAGAAUAGGCCCAGGCGACUGUUUAGCAAAAACACAGGUCUCUGCCAAAUCGAAAGAUGAAGUAUAGGGGCUGACACCUGCCCGGUGCCGGAAGGUUAAGAGGAGGAGUGAGAGCUCCGAAUUGAAGCCCCGGUAAACGGCGGCCGUAACUAUAACGGUCCUAAGGUAGCGAAAUUCCUUGUCGGGUAAGUUCCGACCCGCACGAAUGGUGUAACGAUCUGGGCACUGUCUCAACUACCCACCCGGCGAAAUUGUAGUACCGGUGAAGAUGCCGGUUACCUGCGGCAAGACGGAAAGACCCCAUGGAGCUUUACUGUAGCCUGAUAUUGGGUUUCGGAAAUCUAUGUACAGGAUAGGCGGGAGACUAGGAAACAUGAGCGUCAGCUUGUGUGGAGUCGAUGUUGGGAUACCGCCCUUAGGUUUCUGGAAUUCUAACCUGCGGCCGUGAAUCCGGUCGGGGGACAUUGUCAGGUGGGCAGUUUGACUGGGGCGGUCGCCUCCGAAAAGGUAACGGAGGCGCUCAAAGGUUAGCUCAGCACGGACGGAAACCGUGCCUCUGAGUGUAAACGCAAAAGCUAGCCUAACUGCGAGGGUGACGGCCCGAGCAGUAACGAAAGUUGGAGUUAGUGAUCCGGCGGUAUGUGAAUGGAAAUGCCGUCGCUCAACGGAUAAAAGCUACCCUGGGGAUAACAGGCUGAUCUCCCCCAAGAGUCCACAUCGACGGGGAGGUUUGGCACCUCGAUGUCGGCUCAUCACAUCCUGGGGCUGUAUUCGGUCCCAAGGGUUCGGCUGUUCGCCGAUUAAAGUGGUACGCGAGCUGGGUUCAGAACGUCGCGAGACAGUUCGGUCCCUAUCUGUCGUGGGCGCAGGAUAUUUGAGGAGCUCUGUCCUUAGUACGAGAGGACCGGGAUGGACGUACCUCUGGUGCACCAGUUGUCAUGCCAAUGGCACGGCUGGGCAGCUAUGUACGGAACGGAUAAACGCUGAAAGCAUCUAAGCGUGAAGCCGACUCCAAGAUUAGAUAUCCCAUCGUAUAACGAGUAAGACCCCUUGAAGACUACGAGGUUGAUAGGCUGCGUGUGUAAGUGCCGUGAGGCAUUCAGCUUGGCAGUACUAAUAGGUCGAGGGCUUGACCA
Molecule: ribosomal RNA, 1732 nt
Filed under: human gut metagenome
Description: bacterial LSU rRNA
Rfam family: Bacterial large subunit ribosomal RNA
Source: RNAcentral